GAUGAAGAACGUAGUGAAAUGCGAUAAGUAAUGUGAAUUGCAGAAUUCAGUGAAUCAUCGAAUCUUUGAACGCACAUUGCGCCCGCCAGUAUUCUGGCGGGCAUGCCUGUUCGAGCGUCAUUACAACCCUCAGGCCCCCGGGCCUGGCGUUGGGGAUCGGCGGAAGCCCCCUGCGGGCACAACGCCGUCCCCCAAAUACAGUGGCGGUCCCGCCGCAGCUUCCAUUGCGUAGUAGCUAACACCUCGCAACUGGAGAGCGGCGCGGCCACGCCGUAAAACACCCAACUUCUGAAUGUUGACCUCGAAUCAGGUAAGAAUACCCGCUGAACUUAAGCAUAUCAAUAAGCGGAGGA
This 353-nucleotide unclassified non-coding RNA is filed under the name soil metagenome. RNAcentral describes it as "partial contains 5.8S ribosomal RNA, internal transcribed spacer 2, and large subunit ribosomal RNA". The stretch from base 1 to 120 matches the Rfam family "5.8S ribosomal RNA", at positions 35 to 154 of the family's 154-position model. The record is from RNAcentral.